This 253-nucleotide ribosomal RNA is filed under the name uncultured bacterium. Its description in RNAcentral is "partial 16S ribosomal RNA". It matches the Rfam family "Bacterial small subunit ribosomal RNA", at positions 524 to 776 of the family's 1533-position model. The record is from RNAcentral.
CACGUAGGGGACGAGCGUUGUCCGGAUUCAUUGGGCGUAAAGCGCGCGUAGGCGGCUCGGAAAGUCGGUCGUGAAAUGCCGGGGCUCAACCCCGGGACUGCGUCCGAUACUCUCGAGCUGGAGGCAGGUAGGGGAGAUCGGAAUUCCUGGUGUAGCGGUGAAAUGCGCAGAUAUCAGGAGGAACACCGGUGGCGAAGGCGGGUCUCUGGGCAAUAACUGACGCUGAGGAGCGAAAGCGUGGGGAGCGAACAGG